ACACGCUGGCGGCGUGCCUAAUACAUGCAAGUCGAGCGGAUCUGAGGGAGCUUGCUCCCAAAGAUUAGCGGCGGACGGGUGAGUAACACGUGGGCAACCUGCCUAUGAGACUGGGAUAACUUCGAGAAACCGGAGCUAAUACCGGAUAAUGCUUUUGGACACAUGUCUGGAAGCUGAAAGAUGGCUUCUCGCUAUCACUUAUAGAUGGGCCCGCGGCGCAUUAGCUAGUUGGUGAGGUAACGGCUCACCAAGGCAACGAUGCGUAGCCGACCUGAGAGGGUGAUCGGCCACACUGGGACUGAGACACGGCCCAGACUCCUACGGGAGGCAGCAGUAGGGAAUCUUCCGCAAUGGACGAAAGUCUGACGGAGCAACGCCGCGUGAGUGAUGAAGGUUUUCGGAUCGUAAAACUCUGUUGUUAGGGAAGAACAAGUACCGGAGUAACUGCCGGUACCUUGACGGUACCUAACCAGAAAGCCACGGCUAACUACGUG
RNAcentral lists this ribosomal RNA (494 nucleotides) under uncultured Bacillus sp. RNAcentral's name for it is "bacterial SSU rRNA". It matches the Rfam family "Bacterial small subunit ribosomal RNA", at positions 33 to 507 of the family's 1533-position model. Lineage: Bacteria; Bacillati; Bacillota; Bacilli; Caryophanales; Bacillaceae. The record is from RNAcentral.